RNA transcript from Bombus pyrosoma, 1970 nucleotides. It is a transcript of the gene named histone acetyltransferase Tip60, with no coding region annotated. NCBI's taxonomy places the organism in Eukaryota, Metazoa, Arthropoda, Insecta, Hymenoptera, Apidae. The record is from RefSeq and is a predicted model, not a curated record. The transcript has 5 exons.
AAUGCUUCAAAACAAAAUAGUGUUCGGUAGAAAGUUUCUUCAAUUGUGAUUAAAAUGAUUGAGGAACACGACGAACGUGAAACAAUAUGCGACUCAGUGAAUUCAUUGGUGGAAGGCUGUCGUUUACCAGUCAGAAUGCACGGGACGGAUGAUUGGCCUCUUGCUGAAAUCAUCAGUGUUAAAGACGUACAUGGUGUCAAGUGUUAUUAUGUUCACUAUGUAGAUUUCAAUAAACGAUUAGAUGAAUGGGUUACGGAAGAUUGUUUGGACACUCGGAAAGUUCAAUACCCUCGUCGAGAUGGAACCACACCAGGAACUGGGGCAGCAACCCCCAAAAAACAAGCACCCAGUAGACCUCCUAGUCCUAGCAGCCUUAGUAAUGAACCAGUUAAUGGUUCUGCAGUUUUACAAGCUGCAUUACAGAAAAAAAUGUCUAGAAAGAGAAAGGCAACAUUUAUAGAAAAUGAGGAUUCUCAGGAUGGUCCACCACAGACACCUGGUCCAAGACCAACUGGAUCAUUGGUUGCGCAUCACCACGAUGAUAUAGUUACUAGAAUGAAAAAUGUAGAACUAAUAGAAUUAGGUCGUCAUAGAAUAAGACCCUGGUAUUUUAGCCCUUAUCCACAAGAAAUGGUAAACCUACCGUGUAUAUAUAUCUGUGAAUUCUGUCUGAAGUAUAGAAAAAGUCGAAAAUGCCUGGAGCGACAUUUAGCAAAGUGUAAUUUAAGACAUCCACCUGGCAAUGAGAUAUAUAGAAAAGGCUCAAUAUCAUUUUUCGAAAUUGACGGCCGAAAGAACAAAAAUUAUGCACAAAACCUUUGUCUACUAGCAAAAUUAUUUUUGGAUCAUAAAACGCUUUACUAUGAUACAGAUCCUUUCUUGUUUUAUGUAAUGACAGAUUUUGACAGUAGAGGAUUCCAUAUAGUUGGUUAUUUCUCAAAAGAGAAAGAAUCGACUGAGGAUCAUAACGUAGCUUGUAUUCUUACACUACCGCCGUAUCAAAGAAGGGGCUAUGGAAAAUUACUGAUAGAAUUCUCAUACGAGCUAUCCAAAUUCGAAGGUAAAACAGGUUCACCUGAAAAACCUCUAUCAGACUUGGGAUUGCUGUCUUAUAGAAGUUACUGGGCACAUACCAUAUUGGACAUUCUGUUGAAUAUAAAGCCAUUAGUAGAAAAUGAGAAGCCUCAGAUUACGAUAAGUGAAAUAUGUGAGCUGACCUCGAUUAAGAAAGAAGACGUGAUAUCGACGCUUCAGAACUUGAAUCUCAUUAAUUACUACAAAGGACAAUAUAUUGUUACAUUGAAUAGGUAAUUGGCUAAAUAGUCAAUGCGUCGUUAGGAAAAAAAACGAGUCGUGCAGACAGGAGAUUAUCGAGCAACACGCAGCUGCAAUGGAAAAGAGGCAAAUCAGGAUAGAUCCUAAGUGUCUUCAUUGGACACCAAAAGACUGGAGUGUUAGGGCAAAAUGGUGAAGUGACAUUCAAAAUCGACAAUAAGAUUAUGUUAAUUCGUCUCUAAGUGAUUUUCAGAAUCCCCUGAAAGCGUGACCAUUGUACCAUUUAUUCAAUGUAGAUACAAAAACUGUAUAUAAUAUAUCCGACCAUACUGGUCUGCGUUUUUUAAUAAGACUGUCAAGCUUUGCACGCGACUGCAAUGAUUAAAAGUGACAAAUUGAAAACGAAAAAGAACACGGAAGUAAUAAUAAUUUUUACGUUUGCAUGCGUAUCUCGAUUACGCAGUAUACCGAACAACCAUGUUCACCGAAUAUUUUAUGUGAUAAGAGAAAAGUAUCUAUUAACCCUUAGAGUGCUGAAUACUCGGGGCCUAUGCGGUCCGUACAAACGGCACGCGGCCAGCGCUGACGAUCGCUGUGGACUGAAUACUUUUUCGCUAGAUUGAACUCUGUUGAUUGACUAUUCAAAGCGCAAAUCGUAAUAAGUUAUAGUAAUUCUUUUGCACGAGAUUAAAUGA